RNAcentral lists this ribosomal RNA (492 nucleotides) under uncultured bacterium. Its description in RNAcentral is "partial 16S ribosomal RNA". It matches the Rfam family "Bacterial small subunit ribosomal RNA", at positions 29 to 507 of the family's 1533-position model. The record is from RNAcentral.
AGUGAACGCUGGCGGUAGGCCUAACACAUGCAAGUCGAACGGCAGCACAGUAAGAGCUUGCUCUUACGGGUGGCGAGUGGCGGACGGGUGAGGAAUACAUCGGAAUCUACUUUUUCGUGGGGGAUAACGUAGGGAAACUUACGCUAAUACCGCAUACGACCUACGGGUGAAAGCAGUGGAUCUUCGGACCUUGCGCGAUUGAAUGAGCCGAUGUCGGAUUAGCUAGUUGGCGGGGUAAAGGCCCACCAAGGCGACGAUCCGUAGCUGGUCUGAGAGGAUGAUCAGCCACACUGGAACUGAGACACGGUCCAGACUCCUACGGGAGGCAGCAGUAGGGAAUCUUCGACAAUGGGCGAAAGCCUGAUGCAGCCAUACCGCGUGGGUGAAGAAGGCCUUCGGGUUGUAAAGCCCUUUUGUUGGGAAAGAACAGCAGCAUGUUAAUACCUCGCUGUUCUGACGGUACCCAAAGAAUAAGCCCCGGCUAACUUCGUG